This 1440-nucleotide long non-coding RNA is filed under the name Homo sapiens (human). RNAcentral describes it as "HSALNT0301577". Lineage: Eukaryota; Metazoa; Chordata; Mammalia; Primates; Hominidae. The record is from RNAcentral.
AUCCCUGUGCUCAAGUUCUUCAGGAGCACCUCACUGUCUCCCUCUGCCCACCCACCUGCACCUGACAGCUGUGGGCUGUGCUCUCAGGGAGGCACCGUCAGAUGCUACCAGACUACAGAGGAGAGCACCCUCAAUCCUGACUGAAGGUUUGGGAAAAGGCUGCUCAGAAGAGGUGAUACUUGAUAUGGGCCCUGGAGGAGGAGAAGCAGUUUGAGAAGACAGCAGUGAGAGAUGGCAUCCGGGCAGGCGAGAAAUGCAAAGGGAAGAGAGGUCAUCCAGGACAAAAGUACAGAAUGAAAAGAAAAAGCAACUAAGCACGAAAUCUUGGAGAAUGUCCUCAUUGAAGGGUCCUGAGCACCAAGGGUACAGUCAGAAAUGAUGAAUCCAGAAAUGAUGCCCUCCAGAACUUCUGGUGAGGAAGGCACUCAGGAAAAUGCAGCACCCUAUGGAGGCCCAGAAAGGAGGGCAUUCAGGAAGAACACAGUCUGAUGGUGUCAAGUGCAGCGGAGGCUAAGAGCCUCAGUGCCUCCUUCAGAGAUGCGGUGGAUAUUAGCUUCUGUUGUAUCCUUCAUACAGAACCUGGUGCUGAGAGACAGCUUCUUCUUUUUUUUUUUUUCUUUAAACUUUUCUUAAGACUAGUCAAGUACAGUAUCAAGAAGACGGGAAAGAGUAGAACAAGGAAUUGGAUCCGUAACUGACUGUGAACAAUCAAUUGAGGUAACUCAUUACCUUUGAACCAACCUGGGAGGCAGCCUUGUGACUCACCUCAAUCCUCAAUCUUCUCAGCUAGUUCACUUUGGCCUGGCUCAGGGGCUGACCUAGAAUGAUCCUGUCCAGAAGGACCCUGGAUGUUCUUAGAGACACAGACUGCUAGGGCUGGCAGGGACUUUUCAUCCAAUUCCUCUGUGACAGAGGAGGAAGUGGAGGUGCAGAAGGAGAGGUGAGCUGCCUGUGGUCCUUCAGCUUACUAAUGGCAGUGUUAGGACUGGACCUGAGGGCUCUUCCCUCCAGUCCGGCGCUAUUUAUUCCAUGACAGUGCCUCUCAAACUGUGUUCUCACAAGCAGCUAGUGCUCAGGCAGCUGGACUGAGGCCCUGCCUGCCAAAUCAAAUAUUGGAGGUCUUUCUCCAAUGUGCAGAAAAAAAAAGUAAUUAAUGGGUUAAGUUUCCUUAGGGUUAAAUUAUUUUUCCAUUAAUGCUUCUUAAACCAUUGUCACCUGCUACCAAUUGUCUACUAGCCAAUGCAUGCAGGCAACAAAACAAAAGGAUAAGCCACAAGUAAAUAAGAACAAGAACAACCAAAGCCUUGGAAACACACCAUCAUUCUUAAGUUAAAGGCUUAAAAAAAAAAUAGAGGAAGACUGCUAUGACUGUGGACUUUCUAUUGCAUUCACAUAAUAAAAUCAUGCGACAUUGUUUUGAAUUCAAAUGCUAAAAGUAAA